CGCAUCUGUGCAUGCAGCAUAUCAAUAAGCGGAGGAAAAGAAACUAACAAGGAUUCCCCUAGUAACGGCGAGUGAAGCGGGAAGAGCUCAAAUUUGAAAUCUUAAAGGGUUUCCCUUUACGAAUUGUAGUUUAAAGAAGUGUUUUCUGUUGAGGUUUUGGUAAAAGUUCUUUGGAAUAGGACAUCAUAGAGGGUGAGAAUCCCGUAUUUGACCUUUACUUUCAACUUUGUGAUACACUUUCAAAGAGUCGGAUUGUUUGGGAAUGCAGUCCAAAAUGGGUGGUAAAUUUCAUCUAAAGCUAAAUAUUGGCGAGAGACCGAUAGCGAACAAGUACCGUGAGGGAAAGAUGAAAAGAACUUUGAAAAGAGAGUUAAACAGUACGUGAAAUUGUCAAAAGGGAGGCGUUUGACACCAGUGUUGUUUUUCUGAAAAUCAAUUAAAGAACUGUUUAUGCUAAGCUGUUUAGACUUUAUCAGCUAUCUGUUUAGUUUUGAGCUUUUCUUUAAUGCACUUUUCAGUUAACAAGUCAACAUCAAUUUCUUUUGCUGUAAAAAAGCUUGAGGAAGGUGGCUUGAGAUUCGUCUUAAGUGUUUAUAGCCUCUUGCCUAUGCAGUCGGAGAGAUUGAGGUCUGCAGCGUAGAUCCUUCGGGGCUAAAUGCAUUUGUGCUAAGUUAUAGCAUUUUAUAGACAACUUGUUGACUAUGAUUUGUCUUGUAGCUUACUCGCUUAUGUUAUUUUACCUACGCUUAGGAUGUUGAGUCGUAGAGCACGCAG
Molecule: ribosomal RNA, 774 nt
Filed under: uncultured Neocallimastigales
Lineage: Eukaryota; Fungi; Neocallimastigomycota; Neocallimastigomycetes; Neocallimastigales
Description: partial large subunit ribosomal RNA
Rfam family: Eukaryotic large subunit ribosomal RNA
Source: RNAcentral